AUUGAACGCUGGCGGCAUGCUUUACACAUGCAAGUCGAACGGCAGCGCGGGCUUCGGCCUGGCGGCGAGUGGCGAACGGGUGAGUAAUGCAUCGGAACGUGCCCAGUAGUGGGGGAUAGCCCGGCGAAAGCCGGAUUAAUACCGCAUACGACCUGAGGGUGAAAGCGGGGGACCGAAAGGCCUCGCGCUAUUGUAGCGGCCGAUGUCGGGUUAGCUAGUUGGUGGGGUAAAGGCUUACCAAGGCGACGAUCCGUAGCUGGUCUGAGAGGACGACCAGCCACACUGGGACUGAGACACGGACCAGACUCCUACGGGAGGCAGCAGUGGGGAAUUUUGGACAAUGGGGGCAACCCUGAUCCAGCCAUGCCGCGUGCGGGAAGAAGGCCUUCGGGUUGUAAACCGCUUUUGUUCGGGAAGAAAUCCUCUGGGCUAAUACCCCGGGGGGAUGACGGUACCGGAAGAAUAAGCACCGGCUAACUACGUG
This 484-nucleotide ribosomal RNA is filed under the name uncultured bacterium. RNAcentral describes it as "partial 16S ribosomal RNA". It matches the Rfam family "Bacterial small subunit ribosomal RNA", at positions 28 to 507 of the family's 1533-position model. The record is from RNAcentral.